Molecule: transfer RNA, 66 nt
Filed under: Blaberus sp. B007
Lineage: Eukaryota; Metazoa; Arthropoda; Insecta; Blattodea; Blaberidae
Description: tRNA-Cys
Source: RNAcentral
AGCUUUAUAUUCAUAUAAUGAUUAUAGAAUGCAAUUCUAUAGGAGUAAUGUUUAUUACUAAGGCUU